CAGAUUCAGCCAAACCGAUAUUUAUUUCCCCUCUCUCCCAACGAUCAGCUGUUCCGAUGAUCAGCUGUGCCAGGAUCGCCCUCGCUGUCUUACUCCUUCGCCUAGGAGGCUUCCUUGAGGCCCAGGAGGCAAAAA
Pseudonaja textilis is the source of this 135-nucleotide non-coding RNA. The record is from RefSeq and is a predicted model, not a curated record. Lineage: Eukaryota; Metazoa; Chordata; Lepidosauria; Squamata; Elapidae.